AGUGCAAUCAGCCUCUUCUCCUUUCUGUUAGAUCACAUUCAUCUCUUUUUCUAAUUAUCUGAACAAAGACAUUACCUCCGUCUGCUUCAGCUUUCUCAUCGUUACAGAACAACAGGAUGCAUUUUAUAUUGCUCGCCUUUUCAACCUUCAUACCAUCCCUUAUCAAAGCGUCAUCACUUCCUGUCUGAUCGUGAGCUCAGCGCUGCAGUGAGAGACGAGCUCAUCUCUUUCUAGACGGCAGUCGUCUCCAGAUCGGAUUGGAAAGCAGGCUGGCUCUGAACCAGGACAUUCACCCACAUAUUACCUCAGUCACUGCUGGAGAAUGAUUUUCAUAAUACUCACUUUUUCAACUUUGAUACACUGUAUAUUCUCUCAGACAAUUCGCCAGACCCCACUGUUUAUCUCCAAGUUUCCAGGAGACACAGUCAAAAUGGAUUGUUCUGUAAAGGGUACCUCCACCCCCAACAUGUACUGGUACAGACAGGACUCCAUUGGAGGGAUAGAGAUGCUGUUCCUCUCCAGAGCAGCUGGAAUGGUUGAUGAGUCUCCAAUCAAAGAUUUCACAGCUCAGAGAACAGACAGUGAGAGCUUCAGUCUGCAAACAGAGAGGCUGUCUCUGAACCACACUGCUGUGUAUUACUGUGCAUGGAGUAGUCACGGUGAUUGAGGCAGACAGGGACGCCCAACAAAAACCUCAAAGCAGCUGUACCUGUGCAGUAAACACAAUCCUAAACCACAGGUGUCACAAUGCUUGGAGUGAAUGGUAUAGUUUGUAUAUGUUUAAGAAGGUUGUUACCAAUGUUGAAAAUAAAAAUUCGGAAAGUUUCUGUCCUAUUGACAAAACUAUCUAUAAGAAAUGUAAUUGAACCACUUCUUCAGAAAGGUAUUUGUUUCCAAAAAAGUUGAGCUUAUGACUUUUUUGAAAGGUUAACCCCCACCCCCCUGCAUUUUAGUGGACCCAACAUACUUGUUACUGCAGAUUUUCUGUUUUCGUCGUCAUGAAACCUAUUUAAAUGUGUUAAUUUUACAACAAACCCAUACGGAAAAUAAAUAUAUUUUUAAUAUAUGGAAUUAUAUAUUUUUUAACCUGAAAUGUAUUUAUAAUAUA
Molecule: long non-coding RNA, 1108 nt
Organism: Acipenser ruthenus (sterlet)
Lineage: Eukaryota; Metazoa; Chordata; Actinopteri; Acipenseriformes; Acipenseridae
Exons: 3
Source: RefSeq, a predicted model, not a curated record